Molecule: ribosomal RNA, 483 nt
Filed under: uncultured bacterium
Lineage: Bacteria
Description: partial 16S ribosomal RNA
Rfam family: Bacterial small subunit ribosomal RNA
Source: RNAcentral
GCUUAACACAUGCAAGUCGAGCGAGAAUCGUUUUGCUGAAGGCUUCGGUCUGACGUAGAGUGAGGAAAGCGGCGAACGGGUGAGUAACGCGUGGGCAACCUGGCCUUAAGAAAAGGAUAGCCCCCGGAAACGGGGAGUAAUACUUUAUGAGAAUAGAAAAGGGCAUCCUAUUUCUAUUCAAAGCGCAAGCGCUUAAGGAUGGGCCCGCGUAUCAUUAGCUAGUUGGUGAGAUAACAGCCCACCAAGGCAACGAUGAUUAGCCGGACUGGGAGGGCGAACGGCCACAUUGGAACUGAGAGACGGUCCAAACGCCUACGGGAGGCAGCAGUGGGGAAUAUUGCGCAAUGGAGAAGAACGCGGACGCAGCAAUACCGCGUGAGCGAAGAAGGUCUUCGGAUCGUAAAGCUCUGUUAUCAGGGAAGAAGAAAAUGACGGUACCUGAUGAGCAAGUCCCGGCUAACUACGUGCCAGCCGCCGCAGUAA